GAUGAAGAACGUAGCGAAAUGCGAUAAGUAAUGUGAAUUGCAGAAUUCAGUGAAUCAUCGAAUCUUUGAACGCACCUUGCGCCCUUUGGCCAUUCCGAAGGGCAUGCCUGUUUGAGUAUCAUGAACACCUCAACUCUUUAUGGUUUUCCAUGAUGAGCUUGGACUCUGGGGGUUUUGCUGGCUCACAGUCGGCUCCUCUAAAAUGAAUCAGCUUACCAGUGUUUGGUGGGUAUCAUGGGUGUGAUAACUAUCUACGCUUGUGGUUUUUCCACCAGGUAACCUUCAGCAGUGGAGGUUCGCUGGAGCUCAUAGAUGUCUCUCCUCGGUGAGGACAGCCCUUUGAACGGUUGAUCUCAAAUCAGGUAGGACUACCCGCUGAACUUAAGCAUAUCAAUAAGCGGAGGA
This 405-nucleotide unclassified non-coding RNA is filed under the name soil metagenome. Its description in RNAcentral is "partial contains 5.8S ribosomal RNA, internal transcribed spacer 2, and large subunit ribosomal RNA". The stretch from base 1 to 121 matches the Rfam family "5.8S ribosomal RNA", at positions 35 to 154 of the family's 154-position model. The record is from RNAcentral.